Molecule: ribosomal RNA, 265 nt
Filed under: uncultured prokaryote
Description: partial 16S ribosomal RNA
Rfam family: Bacterial small subunit ribosomal RNA
Source: RNAcentral
UACGUAGGUGGCGAGCGUUAUCCGGAAUUAUUGGGCGUAAAGAGCGCGCAGGUGGUUGAUUAAGUCUGAUGUGAAAGCCCACGGCUUAACCGUGGAGGGUCAUUGGAAACUGGUCGACUUGAGCGCAGAAGAGGGAAGUGGAAUUCCAUGUGUAGCGGUGAAAUGCGUAGAGAUAUGGAGGAACACCAGUGGCGAAGGCGGCUUCCUGGUCUGUAACUGACACUGAGGCGCGAAAGCGUGGGGAGCAAACAGGGUUAGAUACCCU